GGUAAGCUCUGGAAUCAGACUGCAUGUAAAUCCUUUCUCCCAGUAUUUAACCUACUGAGAUCUUAGGCAAGUUUCUUAUCUUCUCGAAGCCUCAGUGUCCUCAGUUUUAAGAGGGAGUUAACAACAGAAUCUACUCCCUAAGACGGCCAAGACGGUCCACACAGGUGGAAACUGAGGCUUAGGGCGGACAAGCAGCUUGCACCAACGGUCACACUGCAGAGCGAGGGGACCAACUCACACUGUCAGACUCUGGAGUCUGAUGUCUAUACCAAUAACCAGGUCUGCUGGGCCUGUGUCUGCCAACAGGGGGCAGAGAGUGGAGGACCGGCAAAGGAAGUAUGUGAGUAGCUGCACCAAGGGACAAGACAAAAGCUGCCUCUGUGCCCUCUGAACUCAAUAUUUACUUCUUCCCUCUCCACUGCUCCAGCAAGAAGUGAAUCAAUGUCCU
Long non-coding RNA from Lutra lutra (Eurasian river otter), 448 nucleotides. RefSeq lists it as uncharacterized. The record is from RefSeq and is a predicted model, not a curated record. Lineage: Eukaryota; Metazoa; Chordata; Mammalia; Carnivora; Mustelidae. The transcript has 3 exons.